CGGGGUAUGGCCUAAUGGUAAGGCGCACGCUUCGGGUGCGUGAGAUUCCGAGUUCGACUCUCGGUACCCCGACCA
RNAcentral lists this transfer RNA (75 nucleotides) under Candidatus Jacksonbacteria bacterium RIFCSPHIGHO2_02_FULL_44_25. RNAcentral describes it as "tRNA-Pro". It matches the Rfam family "tRNA". From Rfam's summary of the family: Transfer RNA (tRNA) molecules are approximately 80 nucleotides in length. Their secondary structure includes four short double-helical elements and three loops (D, anti-codon, and T loops). RNAcentral also lists the same sequence under 3 other names. The record is from RNAcentral. Lineage: Bacteria; Candidatus Jacksoniibacteriota.